AUGCAUUUCCUUCUCUGCAUUUGUCCCCCCAUGCUAGGAAGAAUUCAUGCCCUAGGCCAGUGGCUAUGGCAUCACUGCUGUUUGAAGCACACAGGCAGGAUGGCACACCGUCCCAGACGCCAUACGAGAGCUUCUUGGAGAGCAAACGGACGGCCCACCCGAACCCCGCCUGGUACAAGCUUGCAAGGAGGAGUCAAGGGCUGAGGGAAGCUCUGGACUCUGCCAGCAGCAGUCUGGCUGCGUAACGUCUGUAAAUUCAUUUCUCCUGCCUGAGGGAGCCGGCUCCCUGCCUGAAGCUUGUUGGCAGCUUUUAUCUCCUACGUGACAGCCGGAAUAACAGCUCCAGUUUCCCAGGUUGGUGUCUGCAGCGUG
RNAcentral lists this long non-coding RNA (372 nucleotides) under Chrysemys picta bellii (western painted turtle). RNAcentral's name for it is "lncRNA (ENSCPBG00000022927.1)". Lineage: Eukaryota; Metazoa; Chordata; Testudines; Emydidae. The record is from RNAcentral.